AACGAACGUUAGCGGCGCGCCUAACACAUGCAAGUCGCACGAGAAAGGGCUUCGGCCCCGGUACAGUGGCGCACGGGUGAGUAACACGUGGGUAAUCUGCCUUCGAGUUGGGGAUAACAUUCCGAAAGGAGUGCUAAUACCGAAUAAGACCACGCCUCGAAAGAGGAAGCGGUCAAAGCUGACCUCUAUAUAUAAGUUAGCGCUUGAUGAUGAGCCCGCGGAGCAUCAGCUAGUUGGUGAGGUAAUGGCUCACCAAGGCUUAGACGCUUAGCUGGUCUGAGAGGAUGAUCAGCCACACUGGAACUGAGACACGGUCCAGACUCCUACGGGAGGCAGCAGUGGGAAUCUUGCGCAAUGGGCGAAAGCCUGACGCAGCGACGCCGCGUGAGUGAUGAAGGCCUU
Molecule: ribosomal RNA, 402 nt
Filed under: uncultured bacterium
Lineage: Bacteria
Description: bacterial SSU rRNA
Rfam family: Bacterial small subunit ribosomal RNA
Source: RNAcentral